GAUCCUGGCUCAGAAUCAACGCUGGCGGCGUGCCUAACACAUGCAAGUCGAACGCGAAAGUGGAGCAAUCCAUGAGUAGAGUGGCAAACGGGUGAGUAACGCGUGGGCGACCUGCCUUCGAGUGGGGGAUAACAUUCCGAAAGGGAUGCUAAUACCGCAUAACAUCCUUCGUUUAGAUACGAGGCGAUCAAAGCUGGGAGCAAUCCUGGCGCUUAAAGAGGGGCCCGCGUCCGAUUAGCUAGUUGGUGGGGUAACGGCCUACCAAGGCUUCGAUCGGUAUCCGGCCUGAGAGGGCGGACGGACACACUGGAACUGAGACACGGUCCAGACUCCUACGGGAGGCAGCAGUGGGGAAUUGUUCGCAAUGGGCGCAAGCCUGACGACGCAACGCCGCGUGGAGGAUGAAGACCUUCGGGUCGUAAACUCCUUUCGACCGAGAAGAAUGGCUCCCGACCUAAUACGUCGGGAGCAUGACGGUAUCGAGGGAAGAAGCCCCGGCUAACUCUGUGCCAGCAGCCGCGGUAAUACAGGGGGGGCAAGCGUUGUUCGGAAUUACUGGGCGUAAAGGGUUCGUAGGUGGCCAACUAAGUCAGACGUGAAAUCCCUCAGCUUAACUGGGGAACUGCGUCUGAUACUGGAUGGCUUGAGUGCAGGAGAGGAAUGCGGAAUUCCAGGUGUAGCGGUGAAAUG
This 690-nucleotide ribosomal RNA is filed under the name uncultured Acidobacteriota bacterium. Its description in RNAcentral is "bacterial SSU rRNA". It matches the Rfam family "Bacterial small subunit ribosomal RNA", at positions 15 to 688 of the family's 1533-position model. Lineage: Bacteria; Pseudomonadati; Acidobacteriota. The record is from RNAcentral.